RNAcentral lists this transfer RNA (64 nucleotides) under Anaerobiospirillum succiniciproducens. It matches the Rfam family "tRNA". From Rfam's summary of the family: Transfer RNA (tRNA) molecules are approximately 80 nucleotides in length. The record is from RNAcentral. Lineage: Bacteria; Pseudomonadati; Pseudomonadota; Gammaproteobacteria; Aeromonadales; Succinivibrionaceae.
ACUUUAGUUUAAUGGUAGAACUGUAGCUUCCCAAGCUUCAAGCGCGGGUUCGAUUCCCGUAAGU